RNAcentral lists this unclassified non-coding RNA (1703 nucleotides) under Leishmania donovani. RNAcentral's name for it is "gene:LdHU3.36.9530(CDS-product:Protein_of_unknown _function_(DUF2453)_putative)". Lineage: Eukaryota; Euglenozoa; Kinetoplastea; Trypanosomatida; Trypanosomatidae. The record is from RNAcentral.
CAAAGCGUUUUUUUUGUUUUUAGCAGUCUCAGCUCUUAGCAGGGGACUGCCGCCACCACCUUGAGACGGUACUGCUUCGAGUUCAUCACGGCGUGCCGGUCACGUUUCUCUUCUCGAAGCGCUACUCGAAUGACGCGUAGCUGAAGAAGGCACACACUCACGUCUGCGCCCACGUACACACACGCUGGCAGAGUCGCGCCGCCUGGUGGCCAUCUACAUUGCGAAUCACAUAGAGAGGCAACACACACACACACACACAUGCAGUGGAACUCAGGUACCCUACUUCUCCCCUACUGCCUGCGCUGAGUCCGCACAACGUGUGCCAGCAGAGUUGUCCAGUGCCCCUUUUUCGUGCGCAGGCUCUGAAAAUAACGGAGGGGGGGGUCAGCUUUGCUUGGGCUUCUCGCUGCACACACGUUCACAUUCAUAAACCCGUACAAAGGAUGCGGUGGUUCGUGGCAUCGCGCACCGCACCACGAGCUGUGGUGCCGCAUCGCUUCAUGAGCACCUCUAGGAUGCUGCGGGAUGGGCAUGCAUCGACUGCUGCUGCUGUGGCGGCGGCCACAGCCGCAACUGCUUCGGCCUCCGCCGCUUCUUCGUCUCUCCUCACCGCGGACGAGCUGCAGCGGAUCGCUCAGCUUAUCGAGAACGACCCACGCAUUCUUAUGGAGGUGGUCGCGAGUCUCGACCCGCAGAGCCGUCGCCGGCUCGUCGUGACCGGCGGCGCGAUGGAGUGGUUUGGCACUGAAAGCGCUGCGCAGGAGGUGGAGAAGGCGGACGCGGACAAAGACCGUCAGAUCUCGCCAAAAGACUUCGACCACUGGUUUGAGAGCGCCCUCAAGCGGCGUCAGGAAGAGCAAAAGAAGCGCGCAACCGAGGGAAAGCAGGUCACCAACAUGGAGAGUGGCACCUCUGCGGCCGCCAACACGGCGUCGCCCGCCGCCGCUGUUUCGAAAACGGUGCCGCUAGCGGCUCUCUUCAUGAUCGCACUGGAAGCCGGGCUCCCCUUCGUUGGGUUUGGCUUCCUGGACAACUCCACAAUGAUCUUAGCCGGCGACAUGAUUGACGGAUCACUUGGCUUCUAUCUCAACUGCUCUGUGCUCGCCUCGGCAGCCAUGGGAAACAUCUGCUCGGGGAUGCUGGGGAUGCAGAUUCACGGGCUGAUUGACAAGGCGGUGCAGAAGCUGAACUUUAACACACCAGUGCUUACAGAGGAGCAGAUGAAAGACCGCCGCGUGUUCUUGGCUGGCCACCUCGGCGGCACCUUUGGCAUCAUGCUGGGCCUCAUCCUCGGGAUGGUGCCGCUGCUCUUUCUGGACGGUGACACCAACGAGAAGUCCGACUACGUCAUGUUUCAACGUUGGGACAUCAACAACAGCGGCUUUGUGGAGCUUCCGGAGUUUGAAAAGGUGCUGCGCGAGCUCGGCCUGCAGCAGACGGACGUCAGAGCAAAGAAUUUGAUCGAGAAGUACGGUGAGAACAACCGAGUCGACUUUGAACAGUUUUCACAGAUCAAGGCAGAUCUACGCGAUGGAAAGCCAAUCUUCGACUAGCAACAAUCAUGUCCCCGGCAACACGCAACGCGACGGAGCAUGGUGGCGGCUUGCUGAGAGUUGCGCGUGCUCGCCUCUUAACUUGUACCGCAGCUCUGCAUCUGCGGCUGCCUUUUCUGAUUCGGUGCUGUAUUAUCGAUGUGGUGCACU